ACCUAUAUACGUACGUAUAUAUACUGAAAUACUAUCGUUCAAAUGAUUAAUGACGACCUGACUUUGUAUUUUG
This 73-nucleotide transfer RNA is filed under the name Monimopetalum chinense. RNAcentral's name for it is "tRNA-Phe". Lineage: Eukaryota; Viridiplantae; Streptophyta; Magnoliopsida; Celastrales; Celastraceae. The record is from RNAcentral.